This 462-nucleotide ribosomal RNA is filed under the name uncultured bacterium. RNAcentral describes it as "SSU rRNA". It matches the Rfam family "Bacterial small subunit ribosomal RNA", at positions 26 to 518 of the family's 1533-position model. The record is from RNAcentral.
AGAAUCAACGCUGGCGGCGUGCCUAACACAUGCAAGUCGAACGAGAAAGGGGUAGCAAUACCCUGAGUAAAGUGGCGCACGGGUGAGUAACACGUGACUAACCUACCCUUGAGUGGGGGGAUAACUGAGGGAAACCUUAGCUAAUACCGCAUAAUACCCACGGGUCAAAGGAGCAAUUCACUCGAGGAGGGGGUCGCGGCCGAUUAGUUAGUUGGCGGGGUAAUGGCCCACCAAGACGAUGAUCGGUAUCCGGCCUGAGAGGGCGCACGGACACACUGGAACUGAAACACGGUCCAGACUCCUACGGGAGGCAGCAGUGGGGAAUUUGCGCAAUGGGGGAAACCCUGACGCAGCAACGCCGCGUGGAGGAUGAAGUCCUUCGGGACGUAAACUCCUUUCGAUCGGGACGAUUAUGACGGUACCGGAAGAAGAAGCCCCGGCUAACUUCGCGCCAGCAGCCGC